AGUGAACGCUGGCGGUAGGCCUAACACAUGCAAGUCGAACGGCAGCACAGUAAGAGCUUGCUCUUACGGGUGGCGAGUGGCGGACGGGUGAGGAAUACAUCGGAAUCUACUUUUUCGUGGGGGAUAACGUAGGGAAACUUACGCUAAUACCGCAUACGACCUACGGGUGAAAGCAGGGGAUCUUCGGACCUUGCGCGAUUGAAUGAGCCGAUGUCGGAUUAGCUAGUUGGCGGGGUAAAGGCCCACCAAGGCGACGAUCCGUAGCUGGUCUGAGAGGAUGAUCAGCCACACUGGAACUGAGACACGGUACAGACUCCUACGGGAGGCAGCAGUGGGGAAUAUUGGACAAUGGGCGCAAGACUGAUCCAGCCAUACCGCGUGGGUGAAGAAGGGCUUAGGGUUGUAAAGCCCUUUUGUUGGGAAAGAAAAGCAGCAGGUUAAUACCCCGCUGUUCUGACGGUACCCAAAGAAUAAGCACCGGCUAACUUCGUG
Molecule: ribosomal RNA, 492 nt
Filed under: uncultured bacterium
Lineage: Bacteria
Description: partial 16S ribosomal RNA
Rfam family: Bacterial small subunit ribosomal RNA
Source: RNAcentral